AGGUUUUCUAACCUUGAACAACUCCUUGAAGUAAGGGCUGCACGCGGAGAGGACAACCUUGUGCGCCUGGAGACGCCUACCAUCGCAGGCUAAGGUGACAUCAACGAAGUCCUCGUCAUCCCUGAGGGCCUCGAAUUGGCUGGAGACACUUUAAAAAUUUUCGAAAGAUAUAGAAUAUGAAAGAUUCAUUGAGACGAAGAGGGUGAGGGUGGUUUCGCAGGUCAGGCCUGUUUUACUGCACCCUCGUGCUACUGAUUUGAGAUGAGGCUCUCAUUACUCUGGAAAAAAAUGGCAGGUGCAAAAAGUGCAAUCGAUGACUGAAGAGGAGGUGUGUACGUGGGGAGAAUCGAUAGACGGCUUACCAACAUUAAGAGAUAAAUGAAGUAUAUAUUUGAUGUAUAGUAAUUUUUAUAUAUAUAUACAUACAUAUGUGUAUAUAUGUAUAUAUAUAUAUAUAAUAUUUUUACAUUAUAUUUAUUUUAAUUUUCUUAAACAUAUAAAAAUUAUUAUUAUUUUCAAUUAUAUUUUAAUUAAUACAUUGA
This is a long non-coding RNA of Apis cerana (Asiatic honeybee), 542 nucleotides long. RefSeq lists it as uncharacterized. The record is from RefSeq and is a predicted model, not a curated record. NCBI's taxonomy places the organism in Eukaryota, Metazoa, Arthropoda, Insecta, Hymenoptera, Apidae.